AGGACGAACGCUGGCGGCGUGCUUAACACAUGCAAGUCGAGCGGAAAGGCCCUUCGGGGUACUCGAGCGGCGAACGGGUGAGUAACACGUGAGGAACCUGCCCUGGACUUUGGGAUAACCCUCGGAAACGGGGGCUAAUACCGAAUAUGACUGCCGGCCGCAUGGUUGGUGGUGGAAAGUUUUUUCGGUCUGGGAUGGUCUCGCGGCCUAUCAGCUUGUUGGUGGGGUAAUGGCCUACCAAGGCGACGACGGGUAG
This 256-nucleotide ribosomal RNA is filed under the name uncultured bacterium. RNAcentral's name for it is "partial small subunit ribosomal RNA". It matches the Rfam family "Bacterial small subunit ribosomal RNA", at positions 26 to 286 of the family's 1533-position model. The record is from RNAcentral.